Paramuricea clavata is the source of this 206-nucleotide non-coding RNA. NCBI's taxonomy places the organism in Eukaryota, Metazoa, Cnidaria, Anthozoa, Malacalcyonacea, Plexauridae. The record is from the annotation of a GenBank genome assembly.
UGGCGAGCAAUAAUGAUGGUAUAAUUCGUCGGCGUGUUACAAAUACUGAAAAUACAGCUUCAAAACCUGUUGAAGUUGAAGAAAUGCCGCACAGAACAUCAAAUUCAAGUGAAAUAGAAACAGAAUAUCGGGAAAGUAAACUUGAAUCUGGCACAUACUGGCUGACCAGGAUUGUUUUUCUGCGCUCAUUGGCGUUUGUUUAUUGU